This 254-nucleotide ribosomal RNA is filed under the name uncultured bacterium. Its description in RNAcentral is "partial 16S ribosomal RNA". It matches the Rfam family "Bacterial small subunit ribosomal RNA", at positions 524 to 776 of the family's 1533-position model. The record is from RNAcentral.
UACGGGGGGAGCAAGCGUUGUUCGGAUUUACUGGGCGUAAAGGGCGCGUAGGCGGCCAGUGCAAGUCAGUUGUGAAAUCUCCGAGCUUAACUCGGAACGGUCAGCUGAUACUGUUUUGCUAGAGUGCAGAAAGGGCAACCGGAAUUCUUGGUGUAGCGGUGAAAUGCGUAGAUAUCAAGAGGAACACCUGAGGCGAAGGCGGGUUGCUAGGCUGACACUGACGCUGAGGCGCGAAAGCUAGGGUAGCAAACGGG